GCCCUGUGAUCAUCAACAUAUUCGAACUCACCAAUGUAACCGUGCUUCUGCAUCACCAGCAGAAAUUUGAUGAUCACUUUUGAUGAAGGCCUGAUCAUGACCUGGCGCUUCCCACGCUUUUCAGCAUUGUACAUGCUCUUCAAAGCAUCAUUCAAAACACUAACCCUCACCAUUGUUGCACAGGAAAAGCAGAAAAGGAUCCGCAGAAGGGCCUCAAAGCAAGUAAAAACAGAGAGCUAG
Molecule: unclassified non-coding RNA, 240 nt
Filed under: Hevea brasiliensis (rubber tree)
Lineage: Eukaryota; Viridiplantae; Streptophyta; Magnoliopsida; Malpighiales; Euphorbiaceae
Source: RNAcentral